UGCAAGUCGAACGGCAGCGCGGGGCAACCUGGCGGCGAAGUGGCGAACGGGUGAGUAAUAUAUCGGAACGUACCCUGGAGUGGGGGAUAACGUAGCGAAAGUUACGCUAAUACCGCAUACGAUCUAAGGAUGAAAGUGGGGGAUCGCAAGACCUCAUGCUCCUGGAGCGGCCGAUAUCUGAUUAGCUAGUUGGUAGGGUAAAAGCCUACCAAGGCAUCGAUCAGUAGCUGGUCUGAGAGGACGACCAGCCACACUGGAACUGAGACACGGUCCAGACUCCUACGGGAGGCAGCAGUGGGGAAUUUUGGACAAUGGGCGCAAGCCUGAUCCAGCAAUGCCGCGUGAGUGAAGAAGGCCUUCGGGUUGUAAAGCUCUUUUGUCAGGGAAGAAAAGGCUACGGAUAAUACCUGUGGCUCAUGACGGUACCUGAAGAAUAAGCACCGGCUAACUACGUGCCAGCAGCCGCGGUAAUACGUAGGGUGCAAGCGUUAAUCGGAAUUACUGGGCGUAAAGCGUGCGCAGGCGGUUUUGUAAGACUGUCGUGAAAUCCCCGGGCUCAACCUGGGAAUGGCGAUGGUGACUGCAAGGCUAGAGUUUGGCAGAGGGGGGGUAGAAUUCCACGUGUAGUAGUGAAAUGCGUAGAWAUGUGGAGGAACACCGAUGGCGAAGGCAGCCCCCUGGGUCAAAACUGACGCUCAUGCACGAAAGCGUGGGGAGCAAACAGGAUUAGAUACCCUGGUAGUCCACGCCCUAAACGAUGUCUACUAGUUGUCGGGUCUUAAUUGACUUGGUAACGCAGCUAACGCGUGAAGU
RNAcentral lists this ribosomal RNA (813 nucleotides) under uncultured bacterium. RNAcentral's name for it is "bacterial SSU rRNA". It matches the Rfam family "Bacterial small subunit ribosomal RNA", at positions 56 to 865 of the family's 1533-position model. The record is from RNAcentral.